GGUUUUGCGCCGAAGAUGUCCGGGGCUAAAAUCUAUUACCGAAGUUGUGGGAUACCGCUAAUUUCUUCAAAAGUUCAAGUAGAGAAACAUGAGGACAUCACAGUUCGAAAUCCAUCCUUAACAAUAAAACAUUAAAAAGGAUUUCGAAUAGAUGCAAAAAAAGAUAAAAUCUAUUUGAGAGAUUGAAGAAAUUAGUGGUAUCGGUAGAGGAGCAUUGUGUACGGGAAGAAGCACUACCGGAAGGAGUUGUGGACUGUACAGAAGAGAGAAUGUUGGCAUGAGUAGCGAAAGGUGAGUGAGAAUCUCACCCAUCGAAAGCCUAAGGAUUCCUGAGGAAGGCUCGUCCACUCAGGGUAAGUCGGGACCUAAGCCGAGGCCAAAAGGCGUAGGCGAUGGACAACUGGUUGAAAUUCCAGUACCGCCUUUGAGCGUUUGAGAGAAGUGGUGACACAGAAGGGUAAGUUUGCGCACUGAUGGAAUAGUGCGUCUAAGUAAGUAGGGAGAUGUUACAGGCAAAUCCGUAGCAUCAAUCCUGAGAUACGAAUGGGAGCGAAAAUAAGUAGUGAAGUAGCUGAGCCCACGCUGUCAAGAAAAGCCUCUAUCGAGCAAGAAGGUGCCCGUACCGCAAACCGACACAGGUAGGUGAGGAGAGAAUCCUAAGAUGAGCGAGAGAACCCUUGUUAAGGAACUCGGCAAAUUAACCCCGUAACUUCGGGAGAAGGGGUACUCAAAAGAGUCGCAGUUAAAAGGCCCAAGCAACUGUUUAGCAAAAACACAGGUCUCUGCUAAGUCGCAAGACGAUGUAUAGGGGCUGACGCCUGCCCGGUGCUGGAAGGUUAAGGGGAGAGGUUAGCGAAAGCGAAGCUUUAAACUUAAGCCCCAGUAAACGGCGGCCGUAACUAUAACGGUCCUAAGGUAGCGAAAUUCCUUGUCGGGUAAGUUCCGACCCGCACGAAAGGUGUAACGAUUUGGGCACUGUCUCAACAAUAGAUCCGGUGAAAUUGUAGUACUCGUGAAGAUGCGAGUUACCCGCGGCAGGACGGAAAGACCCCAUGGAGCUUUACUGCAGGCUGACAUUGGAAUUCGGUAGCAAUUGUACAGAAUAGGUGGGAGACAAAGAAGCCAGUACGCCAGUAUUGGUGGAGUCAACGUUGGGAUACCACUCUAUUGUUACUGAAUUUCUAACAUGGUACCAUAAUCUGGUACAUGGACACUGUCAGUUGGGCAGUUUGACUGGGGCGGUCGCCUCCGAAAGAGUAACGGAGGCGCUCAAAGGUUCCCUCAGCACGGUCGGAAAUCGUGCGAAGAGUGUAAAGGCAGAAGGGAGCUUGACUGCGAGAUAGACAUAUCGAGCAGGAACGAAAGUUGGACUUAGUGAUCCGGUGGCACCGAGUGGAAAGGCCAUCGCUUAACGGAUAAAAGCUACCCUGGGGAUAACAGGCUUAUCUCCCCCAAGAGUCCACAUCGACGGGGAGGUUUGGCACCUCGAUGUCGGCUCGUCUCAUCCUGGGGCUGAAGCAGGUCCCAAGGGUUGGGCUGUUCGCCCAUUAAAGAGGCACGCGAGCUGGGUUCAGAACGUCGUGAGACAGUUCGGUCCCUAUCCGCCGUGGGCGCAGGAAAUUUGAAGGGAGCUGUUCCUAGUACGAGAGGACCGGAAUGGACAGACCGCCGGUGAAUCAGUUGUUCCGCCAGGAGCAUGGCUGAGUAGCUGAGUCUGGAAAAGAUAAGCGCUGAAAGCAUCUAAGCGCGAAACGUACCCUAAGAUAAGAUUUCCCAUCACAUAAGUGAGUAAGACCCCUGAUAUGUUAACAGGUUGA
RNAcentral lists this ribosomal RNA (1817 nucleotides) under fermentation metagenome. RNAcentral describes it as "bacterial LSU rRNA". It matches the Rfam family "Bacterial large subunit ribosomal RNA", at positions 1155 to 2856 of the family's 2925-position model. The record is from RNAcentral.